GAUGAACGCUGGCGGCGUGCCUAAUACAUGCAAGUAGAACGCUGAAGGAGGAGCUUGCUCUUCUGGAUGAGUUGCGAACGGGUGAGUAACGCGUAGGUAACCUGCCUGGUAGCGGGGGAUAACUAUUGGAAACGAUAGCUAAUACCGCAUGACAACAGUUAUUGCAUGAUAACUGUUUAAAAGGGGCAACUGCUCCACUACCAGAUGGACCUGCGUUGUAUUAGCUAGUUGGUGAGGUAACGGCUCACCAAGGCGACGAUACAUAGCCGACCUGAGAGGGUGAUCGGCCACACUGGGACUGAGACACGGCCCAGACUCCUACGGGAGGCAGCAGUAGGGAAUCUUCGGCAAUGGACGGAAGUCUGACCGAGCAACGCCGCGUGAGUGAAGAAGGGUUUCGGAUCGUAAAGCUCUGUUGUAAGAGAAGAACGAGUGUGAGAGUGGAAAGUUCACACUGUGACGGUAUCUUACCAGAAAGGGACGGCUAACUACGUG
Molecule: ribosomal RNA, 495 nt
Filed under: uncultured bacterium
Lineage: Bacteria
Description: partial 16S ribosomal RNA
Rfam family: Bacterial small subunit ribosomal RNA
Source: RNAcentral